RNAcentral lists this ribosomal RNA (217 nucleotides) under uncultured bacterium. RNAcentral's name for it is "partial 16S ribosomal RNA". It matches the Rfam family "Bacterial small subunit ribosomal RNA", at positions 326 to 535 of the family's 1533-position model. The record is from RNAcentral.
GGGAUCGCCCUUCCUACGGGAGGCAGCAGUGGGGAAUAUUGGACAAUGGGCGAAAGCCUGAUCCAGCCAUGCCGCGUGUGUGAAGAAGGUCUUCGGAUUGUAAAGCACUUUAAGUUGGGAGGAAGGGCAGUAAAUUAAUACUUUGCUGUUUUGACGUUACCGACAGAAUAAGCACCGGCUAACUCUGUGCCAGCAGCCGCGGUAAUAAGGGCGAUCC